Molecule: ribosomal RNA, 432 nt
Filed under: uncultured bacterium
Lineage: Bacteria
Description: partial 16S ribosomal RNA
Rfam family: Bacterial small subunit ribosomal RNA
Source: RNAcentral
AACGAACGCUGGCGGCAUGCCUAACACAUGCAAGUCGAACGAGACCUUCGGGUCUAGUGGCGCACGGGUGCGUAACGCGUGGGAACCUGCCCUUAGGUUCGGAAUAACUCCCCGAAAGGGGUGCUAAUACCGGAUAAUGUCUUCGGACCAAAGAUUUAUCGCCUUUGGAUGGGCCCGCGUUGGAUUAGCUAGUUGGUAGGGUAAAAGCCUACCAAGGCGACGAUCCAUAGCUGGUCUGAGAGGAUGAUCAGCCACACUGGGACUGAGACACGGCCCAGACUCCUACGGGAGGCAGCAGUGGGGAAUAUUGGACAAUAGGCGAAAGCCUGAUCCAGCAAUGCCGCGUGAGUGAUGAAGGCCUUAGGGUUGUAAAGCUCUUUUACCCGGGAUGAUAAUGACAGUACCGGGAGAAUAAGCUCCGGCUAACUCCGU